UUUUAUUUUUAUUAUUCUUUAUACUUGGCAUAUGGAGGAGAGUCCCACAAUGGGGCAGGCCAGGCUUAGGUACCCCAGGGGGAAUUCAGACACACCUACACAGUGCACCCCAAGCCAGCUCCUCCUUUCUCCUGACAUACAGUGCCCUCCUUCUCACUGAAGUGUAUGAACAGGACUCCCCCUCAGAGCUGAGCCAGACCCUGGAUUCUCAAGGGGUUGGCUGAUUCCCUUGGGAUGCAGGUAUCCGGGCUGAAAACCGGAUUUUAUGAGCUGAGUAAGAUGACAAUGUGAGAAAUGGCGAUUUUCCCUUAGGCAGAGAUCUGAUUUGCAGAUCCGUGCGUACCCACAAUGCUUGUGCCUGCAGCUGCUUUGAACUUUGCUGAAAAGAUUUUUCUUAGCUUGAAAUCAUUAAAAUAUGUUUAAACGGCA
Neofelis nebulosa (Clouded leopard) is the source of this 429-nucleotide long non-coding RNA. RefSeq lists it as uncharacterized. The transcript has 2 exons. Lineage: Eukaryota; Metazoa; Chordata; Mammalia; Carnivora; Felidae. The record is from RefSeq and is a predicted model, not a curated record.